GGAGGGUUCGCAUAGUGGUCAAUUGCAUCGGUUUCGAAAACCGAAGCCUUUUUAGGUUCCGUGGGUUCGAAUCCCACACCCUCCG
RNAcentral lists this transfer RNA (85 nucleotides) under Pseudomonadales bacterium. RNAcentral describes it as "tRNA-Ser". It matches the Rfam family "tRNA". From Rfam's summary of the family: Transfer RNA (tRNA) molecules are approximately 80 nucleotides in length. The record is from RNAcentral. RNAcentral also lists the same sequence under 1 other name. Lineage: Bacteria; Pseudomonadati; Pseudomonadota; Gammaproteobacteria; Pseudomonadales.